Molecule: ribosomal RNA, 497 nt
Filed under: uncultured bacterium
Lineage: Bacteria
Description: partial 16S ribosomal RNA
Rfam family: Bacterial small subunit ribosomal RNA
Source: RNAcentral
GAUGAACGCUGGCGGCGUGCCUAAUACAUGCAAGUCGAGCGAACGGACGAGAAGCUUGCUUUUCUGAUGUUAGCGGCGGACGGGUGAGUAACACGUGGAUAACCUACCUAUAAGACUGGGAUAACUUCGGGAAACCGGAGCUAAUACCGGAUAAUAUUUUGAACCGCAUGGUUCAAAAGUGAAAGGCGGUCUUGCUGUCACUUAUAGAUGGAUCCGCGCUGCAUUAGCUAGUUGGUAAGGUAACGGCUUACCAAGGCAACGAUGCAUAGCCCACAUGAGAGGGUGAUCGGCCACGAUGGAACUGAGACACGGUCCAGACUCCUACGGGAGGAAGAAGUAGGUAAUCUUCCGCAAUGGGCGAAAGCCUGACGGAGCGACGCCGCGUAUGGGAUGAAGGUCUUCGGAUAGUAAAACUCUGUUAUUAGGGAAGAACAUAUGUGUAAGUAACUGUGCACAUCUUGACGGUACCUAAUCAGAAAGCCACGGCUAACUACGUG